GUGACAGCCGCCGCGGUAAUACGGAGGGUGCAAGCAUUAAUCGGAUUUAUUGGGCGUAAAGGGCGCGUAGGCGGGCAUGUAAGUCGGAUGUGAAAUCCCGGGGCUCAACCCCGGAACAGCAUUCGAAACUACAUAUCUAGAGGGUAGGCGAAGAAAAUGGAAUUCCACGUGUAGCGGUGAAAUGCGUAGAUAUGCGGAAGAACACCGGUGGCGAAGGCGAUUUUCUAGCUUAUACCUGACGCUGAUGCGCGAAAGCAAGGGGAUCAAACAGGAUUAGAAACCCCUGUAGUCC
RNAcentral lists this ribosomal RNA (292 nucleotides) under uncultured bacterium. RNAcentral's name for it is "partial 16S ribosomal RNA". It matches the Rfam family "Bacterial small subunit ribosomal RNA", at positions 505 to 796 of the family's 1533-position model. The record is from RNAcentral.